This 528-nucleotide ribosomal RNA is filed under the name uncultured bacterium. Its description in RNAcentral is "bacterial SSU rRNA". It matches the Rfam family "Bacterial small subunit ribosomal RNA", at positions 777 to 1304 of the family's 1533-position model. The record is from RNAcentral.
AAUAGAUACCCCGGUAGUCCAUGCCGUAAACGAUGAUUACUAAGUGUUGGAGGGUUUCCGCCCUUCAGUGCUGCAGCUAACGCAUUAAGUAAUCCGCCUGGGGAGUACGACCGCAAGGUUGAAACUCAAAAGAAUUGACGGGGGCCCGCACAAGCGGUGGAGCAUGUGGUUUAAUUCGAAGCUACGCGAAGAACCUUACCAGGUCUUGACAUCUUCUGCCAACCUAAGAGAUUAGGCGUUCCCUUCGGGGACAGAAUGACAGGUGGUGCAUGGUUGUCGUCAGCUCGUGUCGUGAGAUGUUGGGUUAAGUCCCGCAACGAGCGCAACCCUUAUUACUAGUUGCCAGCAUUCAGUUGGGCACUCUAGUGAGACUGCCGGUGACAAACCGGAGGAAGGUGGGGACGACGUCAAAUCAUCAUGCCCCUUAUGACCUGGGCUACACACGUGCUACAAUGGAUGGUACAACGAGUCGCGAAACCGCGAGGUUUAGCUAAUCUCUUAAAAACCAUUCUCAGUUCGGACUGUAGG